RNAcentral lists this ribosomal RNA (253 nucleotides) under uncultured bacterium. RNAcentral's name for it is "partial 16S ribosomal RNA". It matches the Rfam family "Bacterial small subunit ribosomal RNA", at positions 524 to 776 of the family's 1533-position model. The record is from RNAcentral.
UACGGGGGGGGCAAGCGUUGUUCGGAAUUACUGGGCGUAAAGGGCUCGUAGGCUGCCAACUAAGCCGGACGUGAAAUCCCUCGGCUUAACCGGGGAACUGCGUCUGAUACUGGAUGGCUUGAGUUUGGGAGAGGGAUGCGGAAUUCCAGGUGUAGCGGUGAAAUGCGUAGAUAUCUGGAGGAACACCGGUGGCGAAGGCGGCAUCCUGGACCAACACUGACGCUGAUGAGCGAAAGCCAGGGGAGCAAACGGG